GGGGAUGGAGCUCAGUGGUAGAGCACUUGCCUAGCAUGUGUGAGGCCCUGGUUUCAAUCUCCAGUAUUUUUU
Molecule: transfer RNA, 72 nt
Filed under: Ictidomys tridecemlineatus (thirteen-lined ground squirrel)
Lineage: Eukaryota; Metazoa; Chordata; Mammalia; Rodentia; Sciuridae
Description: Spermophilus tridecemlineatus (thirteen-lined ground squirrel) tRNA
Rfam family: tRNA
About the family: Transfer RNA (tRNA) molecules are approximately 80 nucleotides in length. Their secondary structure includes four short double-helical elements and three loops (D, anti-codon, and T loops).
Source: Rfam by way of RNAcentral